GCCCCCGUAGCUCAGAGGAUAGAGCAGCGGUUUCCUAAACCGUGUGCACAGGUUCGAGUCCUGUCGGGGGUA
RNAcentral lists this transfer RNA (72 nucleotides) under Anaerolineae bacterium. RNAcentral describes it as "tRNA-Arg". It matches the Rfam family "tRNA". Rfam says of the family: Transfer RNA (tRNA) molecules are approximately 80 nucleotides in length. Their secondary structure includes four short double-helical elements and three loops (D, anti-codon, and T loops). Further hydrogen bonds mediate the characteristic L-shaped molecular structure. tRNAs have two regions of fundamental functional importance: the anti-codon, which is responsible for specific mRNA codon recognition, and the 3' end, to which the tRNAs corresponding amino acid is attached (by aminoacyl-tRNA synthetases). tRNAs cope with the degeneracy of the genetic code in two manners: having more than one tRNA (with a specific anti-codon) for a particular amino acid; and 'wobble' base-pairing, i.e. permitting non-standard base-pairing at the 3rd anti-codon position. Lineage: Bacteria; Bacillati; Chloroflexota; Anaerolineae. The record is from RNAcentral.